UUUGCCUACGAGGGCAGCAGUGGGGAAUAUUGCACAAUGGGGGGAACCCUGAUGCAGCGACGCCGCGUGGGCGAGGAAGUAUUCCGGUAUGUAAAGCCCUAUCGGCAGGGAAGAAGAAAUGACGGUACCUGAAUAAGAAGCACCGGCUAAAUACGUGCCAGCAGCCGCGGUAAUACGUAUGGUGCAAGCGUUAUCCGGAUUUACUGGGCGUAAAGGGAGCGCAGGCGGCGCGCCAAGUCUGAUGUGAAACCCCGGGGCUCAACCCCGGGCAUGCAUUGGAAACUGGCCGGCUGGAGUGCCGGUGG
This 305-nucleotide ribosomal RNA is filed under the name uncultured bacterium. Its description in RNAcentral is "bacterial SSU rRNA". It matches the Rfam family "Bacterial small subunit ribosomal RNA", at positions 332 to 655 of the family's 1533-position model. The record is from RNAcentral.